CAGCAGCCACGGUAAUACGUAGGGUGCGAGCGUUAAUCGGAAUUACUGGGCGUAAAGCGUGCGCAGGCGGUUAUAUAAGACAGAUGUGGAAUCCCCGGGCUCAACCUGGGACCUGCAUUUGUGACUGUAUAGCUAGAGUACGGUAGAGGGGGAUGGAAUUCCGCGUGUAGCAGUGAAAUGCGUAGAUAUGCGGAGGAACACCGAUGGCGAAGGCAAUCCCCUGGACCUGUACUGACGCUCAUGCACGAAAGCGUGGGGAGCAAACAGGAUUAGAGACCCGUGUAGUCCCUGUCUCUUAUAC
RNAcentral lists this ribosomal RNA (301 nucleotides) under uncultured bacterium. Its description in RNAcentral is "partial 16S ribosomal RNA". It matches the Rfam family "Bacterial small subunit ribosomal RNA", at positions 509 to 807 of the family's 1533-position model. The record is from RNAcentral.